RNAcentral lists this unclassified non-coding RNA (253 nucleotides) under uncultured Myxococcales bacterium. Its description in RNAcentral is "contains 16S-23S intergenic spacer region". It matches the Rfam family "Bacterial small subunit ribosomal RNA", at positions 524 to 776 of the family's 1533-position model. The record is from RNAcentral. Lineage: Bacteria; Pseudomonadati; Myxococcota; Myxococcia; Myxococcales.
UACGGAGGGUGCAAACGUUGCUCGGAAUCAUUGGGCGUAAAGCGCACGUAGGCGGCUGUGUAAGUUGGGUGUGAAAGCCCAGGGCUCAACCCUGGAAGUGCACCCAAAACUACAUGGCUUGAGUCCCGGAGGGGCCCAGAGAAUUCUCGGUGUAGAGGUGAAAUUCGUAGAUAUCGGGAGGAAUACCAGUGGCGAAGGCGCUGGGCUGGACGGGAACUGACGCUGAGGUGCGAAAGCGUGGGGAGCAAACAGG